AGCGAACGCUGGCGGCAGGCCUAACACAUGCAAGUCGAACGAACCUUUCGGGGUUAGUGGCGGACGGGUGAGUAACACGUGGGAACGUGCCUUUAGGUUCGGAAUAACUCAGGGAAACUUGUGCUAAUACCGAAUGUGCCCUUCGGGGGAAAGAUUUAUCGCCUUUAGAGCGGCCCGCGUCUGAUUAGCUAGUUGGUUGAGGUAAUGGCUCACCAAGGCGACGAUCAGUAGCUGGUCUGAGGGGAUGAUCAGCCACAUUGGGACUGAGACACGGCCCAAACUCCUACGGGAGGCAGCAGUGGGGAAUCUUGCGCAAUGGGCGAAAGCCUGACGCAGCCAUGCCGCGUGAAUGAUGAAGGUCUUAGGAUUGUAAAAUUCUUUCACCGGGGACGAUAAUGACGGUACCCGGAGAAGAAGCCCCGGCUAACUUCGUG
Molecule: ribosomal RNA, 434 nt
Filed under: uncultured bacterium
Lineage: Bacteria
Description: partial 16S ribosomal RNA
Rfam family: Bacterial small subunit ribosomal RNA
Source: RNAcentral